Molecule: long non-coding RNA, 4470 nt
Organism: Spinacia oleracea (spinach)
Lineage: Eukaryota; Viridiplantae; Streptophyta; Magnoliopsida; Caryophyllales; Amaranthaceae
Exons: 6
Source: RefSeq, a predicted model, not a curated record
AAUUUAAUCAAGAGUUUAAUUACUUAAAUUAAGGGUUAAUGUUAUAAUUAAGAUAAAAUAGUUGAUUAAGGGCAAAAGGGUAAACAUAUGUAAACAGAGACUUAACGUCCGUUAGCCUUAUGGGCAUUUUGUGUUAUUUUUUAAUACGUCAGGGGUAUUUGGUACAUUCGGGAAACAUUAAGGGUAUUUGGUGCAUUAACGCAAACCUCGGUGUCAUUUCAUGAAAAAUCCGAACAUUAAUUAACAUCGUCUAAUUAAUACUCCCUCCGUAUUUUAAAAAGAGAUACGCUUUCCUUAAACGGUUGUAUUUUAAAAAGAGAUACACUUUUGUUUUUCGGCAUGUUUUGGUCCCCACUUCCCACUAUAUUAAUAUUUCUCUCUUUCUUUUGGUCCCAACACUUACUCAUAUCAUCUUUUAACUAUAAUAAAUAAUUCACCCACUACCCCACUUUCAUCUUAUUUGAAUAAAUUCAACGCACUCUCCUAAAACUAUGUGCCGGUCAAAGUAUAUCUCUUUUUAAAAUACGGAGAGAGUAACGUUUACCAAAAAGCGCUAUUGUUUGUAUGAAAUAACAACUUUAUAUCAUACUGCUGUUAAAAGAAGCAAUUCUAAUUUCCACUUUAAUAUAAUACAACACUUUUUUUAAAACGAUGUGAUUAAAACUUAAUAAAAAAGAAAAAAGAAAUAUUGAGUAAAUGGGUUGACACCUGCCCGACCGCCAAAACCAAAUUAAUUGAGCAUAAACAAAAGCGCAAAACCCUUUGGAACAUCAGUUCAGCACCUCCUAAAAAUCCCACGUUCUCCAUCUUCCUUUCUUCUCCCACCACGACAUCCACAGUUAAGGAUAUUUAAGGGUUCUCAAUCGAAUUCGAAGUUCAAUCCCAAUCUGAAAUUCAAGUGUUCAAUCCCAAUCCAAGUUGACUCAAACCGAAAUUUACCAAAUUCAAAAGUACAGAGUUCCCUUCAAUCCAAAUAAAGAUUUUCGUAUUUAAUUAGCUUCUUCUCCAUUGAACAUUUCUCGGCGGAGAUUAUUAUCCGGCGAACAUACUUCCCGGCUGCGUGUGGUUGAAUAUCAAUUGUAUCAUCAAUUGCAACAACAUGGUCCGGCAUAAUGUUGAGGAUGUGAGAAUCCAUUUGGUGGUGAACGGAAUUAUUUAAACAUACUCCGUACAAGUGUUGGAUAAAAAAUAUGACAUUAGAUGAUUUUCCUUCUUAUAUGAGUACUGAGAUGUAUGGUGAGAUGUAUGGUGACACAAAAAAUGAUGAAACAGAAUCUGAUGAAAUGAAAGAGGAUUUCACAUUUGAUGAGGAUUGUUUAGAAGAAAUGACACAGAUCUUAGGGCAGAACAUUGAAGGUGGUUCUGAAAUGUUUGAGACCUUGUGUAAUGAUGCAAUACACCGUUGUACCUACUUGUACUAAAUUUAGUAAAUUAUCUAUUGUGCUAAAGCUUUAUAACCUAAAAGCACAUGGUGGAUUGCCCGAUGAAAUUUUCACAAGCUUUCUUAAAUUGGUGAAAGAGAUGCUUCCUGUCAAGAAUGUGCUCCCUGAUCAAAAUUAUGAGGCAAAGAAGAUGUUAAGCUUCGUCGGCAUGGGUUAUGAAAAAAUCCACGCAUGCCCUAAUGAUUGCAUUUUAUAUCGGAAGGAAUAUGCAUCAUUAGAAAAUUUCCCAAAGUGUAACACUCCACGAUAAAAGAAAAAAAAUGUUUCAUCCAAGGUUAUGUGUUAUUUUCCAAUAGUACCCAGAUUUAGACGCCUGUUUAGCAUUGCAGAAGAGGCAAAGAAAUUGACAUGGCAUGCAUAUGAGAGAUUGAAAGAUGGUUUACUUAGACACACUGCCGAUUCUCUAUAAUGGAUCAAGAUUGACACUGACUUUGAAGAUUUUGGGCGUGAAGAAAAAAAUUUGCGUCUCGCCCUUGCAGCAGAUGGGAUGAAUCCUUUUCGCAAUUAGAGUUGCAAUCACAAUACAUGGCUAGUGAUUUUGAUGAUUUAUAGCCUUUGUCCUGACUUGAUAAUGAAACGAAAGUAUAUGAUGCUGACCAUGUUAAUUUGAGGCCCAAAACAACUAGGAAACGACAUAGAUGUGUAUUUGGCACCAUUAAUUUAAUAUUUAAAAAUGAUGUGGGAUUCGGGUGUAGAAGUUUUUUAUGCUCAUCGCAAUGAGAGUUUUAAUAUGAAAGCCUUGCUUUAUGGAACAAUAAACGAUUUUCCAGCAUAUGGACAUUUGGCGGGAUAUAGCGUUAAAGGAUAUGAGGCAUAUAUGCCCUAUUUGUGAGGAUAAUAAAUUCUCACCUUACUUGACAUAUUCUCGUAAGAAUGUCUACCCGGAUUUUCGCAAAUUUUUGCCUAUUGACCAUCAAUAUCGAAGGUGGAAAAAAGAUUUUAAUGGGAAAACUAAAGAAGGUACUCUUCUAGUGCCGCCAUCAGGAGAUGAAAUACUUGAGAAAAUGCAGAAUUUGGAUGUUAAGCUUGGGAAGUUAAACGUAAAAGAUGUUCCCACCACCGGGCACAAAAAGUUGUCAAUAUUCUUUGACCUUCCGUACUGGAGGACCUUGCAUGUGAGACACUUCCUUGAUGUCGUACAUACUGAGAAAAACGUUUGUGAAAGUCUUAUAGGUACUUUACUUAAUGUGCCUGGUAAGACUAAAGAUGGGGAGGCUGCUAGACUAGACUUAGUUGACUUGGAGAUUAGAGCAGAAUUGGCACCAAUCAAGGGCACUGGUCGUACAUAUCUUCCACCAGCGUUUUAUACUCUAUAUAUAUAAAUGAGAAAGUUUCUUUUUGUGAGUGUCUUUAUGGUGUUAAGGUUCCCGAGGGUUAUUCUUCUAACAUAAAAAUAUUUUUGUCAAUGAAAAACUUGAAGCUAAUAGGCUUAAUGUCACAUGAUUACCACAUUCUUAUGGAGCAUCUUCUCCCGGUAGCUAUUCGAUCCAUUAUUUAAGAACCCGUUCGAAAUGCUAUCACAAAACUUUGCAUUUUCUUUAGCGAGAUCUGUAGCAAAGAAAUUGAUCCUUUAAAGUUGAGUGAUUUGCAAAAGGACCUUGUUAUUACUUUGUGUCAAUUGGUGAUAUAUUUUCCGCCGUCAUUUUUUGACACUAUGAUACAUUUGACUGAUCAUUUGGUUAGAGAAGUUCAGCUACGUGGACCUGCUUAUUUGAGAUACAUGCACGCCAUUGAGAGAUUUAUGAAAAUACUGAAGGGAUAUAUAUGUCCAUAGUGGAAGUGGACCAGAAGGUUUCAUUGUUGAACGCACCUUGAUUGAAGAAUCUCUCGAGUUUUGUAUUCACUAUCUUUAUAAUGUAGAUGCAAUAGGGAUUCCAAAGCCUAGGGAUCCCAGAGAAUCCCAUAGGGUUUAAAGGAAAGGGGAUUGUUGGAAAAAAAGUGGUGUCUUUAUCUCACGAAUAGCGGCAUCAAGCACACUUAUAUGUCCUUCAUAAUAGUACAGAGGUUGAUCCGUACGUGGAAGAACACAUGUUGUUUUUGACAGGCUUACAUCCACUCAAGAAUAAACAAUGGAUAUCGAAGAAACACAAUCGCUCUUUCAUUGAGUGGUUGUGUGUUUGAAUUUCUAAUGAAUUAGAUAAGUUACCCUUAUCUAUUUCUAACAGACUGAAAUGGGUUUCUAAGGGUCCUUGUUUUGAGGUUAUGUCAUAUUCUGGUUAUAAUUAAAAUAAAUGGCUAUAUAUUUUACACAAAGGAUAGAGACGAGGAGAUAACCAUGCAAAACAGUGGGGUAGCUGUGUUGGCAAAAGCUAUUCACAUCUCUAGUGCAAAAGGGAGUUUUUCAAUGGCUUUCUCUGAAGUUGGAGUUUAAUGUUGGUCCUCUUUCCUGAAGUAGUGAUCAAUGUAAAGCAAAUAUUUGUUCGUUGUUGCUUAUGAUUAAUGGCUUAUUUAAAUAUUGAUCAAGAAUAAGGUGACGAUGAAUCUAAUAAUGGAGAUGGCCUCCCUUCUUAUAAGGGAAAAGAGGAUAAAGGUAUUGGUGCUACUAGGAUGGCUGCAUUGGUUCGAGCUAGAAAUAGAGGUGUGAGAUUCAAUGUUCAGUGGAAUGCCAAUAGGCUACCAAUCAGGAUUGAUAGUGAUAAAUUGAUGAUUUAUUGGGGGCUAGCAUCCACAAGAAUGUCCCUGUCAUCUACGACAACUAGCACAAAGUUCCUAAAAGUUUGAAGAAUGCACUUUUUGAGGAUCUCUCGAUAACAUUUAAGGUUAGCGAGAGAGAGAAAUCCUGGUUUUUAAAGAAAAGAGGGCGGUGUUGGAGUAACUUCAAAUAUGAUAUAUCAAGAAAUUGGUUGUUUGAUCAACAUGGGAAGUUACGAGAAAAUCCACCUAAGAAAUACGACUUUAUUGAUAGAAUCCAUUGGAAAAAGUUUGUCAAAAGUCGUGUUUCUGAUAUUAUGAAUUUCAGGAAAAAGUGAGGCUAAUCGAGAACGUGCAAGUAAUAAUGACUAUCCUCAAAGGAAAGGACGAAGAGGUU